RNAcentral lists this ribosomal RNA (430 nucleotides) under uncultured bacterium. Its description in RNAcentral is "bacterial SSU rRNA". It matches the Rfam family "Bacterial small subunit ribosomal RNA", at positions 355 to 776 of the family's 1533-position model. The record is from RNAcentral.
UGGGGAAUAUUGCGCAAUGGGCGAAAGCCUGACGCAGCAACGCCGCGUGAGUGAUGAAGGUCUUCGGAUCGUAAAGCUCUGUCGGCAGGAACGAGGGGUUCGUUGGCUAAUAUCCAACGGACUUGACGGUACCUGCAAAGGAAGCACCGGCUAACUCUGUGCCAGCAGCCGCGGUAAGACAGAGGGUGCAAGCGUUGUUCGGAAUCAUUGGGCGUAAAGGGCGCGUAGGCGGCUUUGUAAGUCGGAUGUGAAAGCCCAGGGCUCAACCUUGGAAGUGCAUCCGAAACUGCGAAACUAGAGUCUCGGAGAGGGUGGUGGAAUUCCCAGUGUAGAGGUGAAAUUCGUAGAUAUUGGGAGGAACACCGGUGGCGAAGGCGACCGCCUGGACGAAGACUGACGCUGAGGCGCGAGAGCGUGGGGAGCAAACAGG